GGGAUGGAAGAUGGCGAGAAAAGCUGUGUGAAUUUCUGCGGUGCCCGUACCGCAAACCGACACAGGUAGGUAGGAAGAAGAUUCUAAGGCCAACGGGAGAAGGGUUGUUAAGGAACUCGGCAAAUUGACCCCGUAGCUUCGGGAGAAGGGGUGCUGCAGCAAUGCAGCCGCAGAGAAUCGGCCCAAGCAACUGUUUACCAAAAACACAGGUUUGUGCUAAAUCGAAAGAUGACGUAUACGAGCUGACGCCUGCCCGGUGCUGGAAGGUUAAGAGGAGAUGUGCAAGCAUUGAAUCGAAGCCCCAGUGAACGGCGGCCGUAACUAUAACGGUCCUAAGGUAGCGAAAUUCCUUGUCAGGUAAGUUCUGACCCGCAUGAAAGGCGUAAUGAUUUGGGCACUGUCUCAACAGCCCGCCCGGCGAAAUUGUAGUACCGGUGAAGAUGCCGGUUACCCGCGACAAGACGGAAAGACCCCAUGGAGCUUUACUGUAGCCUAAUAUUGGGUUUCGAUGUUGCAUGCACAGGAUAGAUGGGACACAGGGAAGCAGGUGCUUUGGCGCUUGUGGAGUGGCCGUUGGGAUACCAUCCUUGCGAUAUUGGAAUUCUAACCUGCGCCUUUGAAUCAAGGCGGGGGACAUUGUUAGGUGGGCAGUUUGACUGGGGCGGUCGCCUCCUAAAGAGUAACGGAGGCGUUCAAAGGUUCGCUCAGCUUGAACGGAAAUCAAGCAAAAGAGUGCAAACGCAGAAGCGAGCCUAACUGCGAGACUGACGGGUCGAGCAGUAACGAAAGUUGGAGUUAGUGAUCCGGUGGUAUGUGAGUGGAAAUGCCAUCGCUCAACGGAUAAAAGUUACCCUGGGGAUAACAGGCUGAUCUCCCCCAAGAGUCCACAUCGACGGGGAGGUUUGGCACCUCGAUGUCGGCUCAUCGCAUCCUGGGGCUGUAUUCGGUCCCAAGGGUUUGGCUGUUCGCCAAUUAAAGCGGUAUGCGAGCUGGGUUCAGAACGUCGUGAGACAGUUCGGUCCCUAUCUGUCGUGGGCGCAGGAUAUUUGAUGGGAGCUGUUCCUAGUACGAGAGGACCGGAGCGGACGUACCUCUGGCGCACCAGUUGUUCUGCCAAGAGCAUAGCUGGGCAACUAUGUACGGAUCGGAUAAACGCUGAAAGCAUCUAAGCGUGAAGCCGACCCAAAGAUAAGAUAUCCCAUUGUUUCAAACAAGUAAGACCCCUUGAAGACUACAAGGUUGAUAGGCGCGAUGUGUAAGUGGAGCGAUCCAUUCAGCAAGCGUGUACUAAUAGGUCGAGGGCUUGACCUG
Molecule: ribosomal RNA, 1311 nt
Filed under: metagenome
Description: bacterial LSU rRNA
Rfam family: Bacterial large subunit ribosomal RNA
Source: RNAcentral